RNAcentral lists this ribosomal RNA (902 nucleotides) under uncultured bacterium. RNAcentral describes it as "bacterial SSU rRNA". It matches the Rfam family "Bacterial small subunit ribosomal RNA", at positions 8 to 916 of the family's 1533-position model. The record is from RNAcentral.
AGAGUUUGAUCCUGGCUCAGAAUGAACGCUGGCGGCAUGGCUAAGACAUGCAAGUCGAACGAUAUGAUUGAUUGGGUAACCGAAAAAUCAUAUAGUGGCGAAAGGGUGCGGAAUAGAUAGGUAACAUACCUUGGGUUUCAGGAUAGCGUUCCGAAAGGGACGGUAAUACUGAAUGACAUCAACGGCUUUGAGGCGGUUGAUCAAAGAUUUAUCGACCUGAGAGUGGCCUAUCUCCUAUCAGCUAGUUGGUGAGGUAAUGGCCCACCAAGGCAAUGACGGGUAGCGGGACUGAGAGGUUGACCCGCCACAUCGGGACUGAGACACUGCCCGGACCUCCACGGAGGGCUGCAGUAACGAAUAUUGGGCAAUGGGCGAAAGCCUGACCCAGCGAUGCCGCGUAUAGGAUGAAGUUCUUCGGAAUGUAAACUAUUGUCAGGGGCUAGAAAGCCGUAAGGUUGAUCAGCCCCAGAGGAAGUCACGACUAACUUCGUGCCAGCAGUCGCGGUAAUACGAAGGUGACAAGCGUUAUUCGAAAUCACUGGGCUUAAAGGGUGCGCAGGCGGAAAUGUAAGUGUCUUGUGAAAUACCUUGGCUUAACCAAGGCAUUGCUCGGCAAACUGCAUUUCUUGAGGCAAGUAGAGGUGUGUGGAACUCUUGGUGGAGCGGUGGAAUGCGUAGAUAUCAAGAGGAACGCCGAAGGUGAAGACAGCACACUGGACUUGUCCUGACGCUCAUGCACGAAAGCGUGGGGAGCAAACAGGAUUAGAUACCCUGGUAGUCCACGCCCUAAACGAUGUCAACUAGGUUGUAGAGGCUCUGACGCCGUUGCAGCCGAAGCAAAAGUGUUAAGUUGACCGCCUGGGGAGUACGGUCGCAAGGCUAAAACUCAAAGGAAUUGACGG